CUCCAUAGAGAGAGCAUUUUCUUGGUGAUUUAAUAAGGUGAAAAUAUCAAAUAUUGUCACAUGAAAUUGACAUGAACUUCAACGCCACAGAGAAUUGAGAAUGUUCAAGCGAGUGCGGAUUCUAUCAGAAGAGAGAGGUGUACGAUCAGAUUUGUUAGUAGCAGAUAGAGACCACCGAUGAACUCCCAGAUGGGUGAUGAUGGAAGAUGAUCGCCGUACAGAAAUGAUGAAAGCCAAGAUUGAGAUUGAUACUGACAGGUUCCUAGUAAGUAUUUGACAUUGAGGAACAAGUUUUUGGAAACAAAUAGAGAAUAUAAUCUUUGAUCGAGAAGUUUCAUAUUUUGUAAUCAAAUGUUAAUGUACAUUGUUUGAAUGUUAGUUCGGUAUGAUAUUUUCUGAGUUGAAAUGUUGGUAGUGUGGAUUUAA
Molecule: long non-coding RNA, 426 nt
Organism: Asparagus officinalis (garden asparagus)
Lineage: Eukaryota; Viridiplantae; Streptophyta; Magnoliopsida; Asparagales; Asparagaceae
Exons: 3
Source: RefSeq, a predicted model, not a curated record